UCCUGUCACCCACCCCACUCCUCUCUCUCUCCCGUAUUCCAUCCCACGAUCUCCCCCCUCCCAGCUUGCCACACCGCCUCCCCCCAACGACAACCUCGUCGUUUCCCCGCCACCUACCCAGCGCCACUGCCCCACCUCCUUCCCCUCGCAUCACCGCAGCGCCACCAGCCACCCAUGUCGUGCAUCAUGCCCCCAAAGGAGCUUGAGAUGUGGCGAAUCCGCGUAAAAGGGGCGAUGGUUGGCGUGUCGCGGCAUCGGGGAUCAUCGGAUCCAGGUGUCUGAUUGCUGAGGCCAGUGCUGGUCGGGCAACUGCAGCGGCCCGGCCUACCACUCCUCCCUCGAUCCCCACCACAACUAAGCGACUACGAGAGUAGGAACCCCCGGACGCCACCACUUCCCUUUCUGCUCGCCGCUUCUUCGACUAGAACCCAUCCUCGUCAACCUUUUUCGGCCUCCGACCCUCCUCAACAGCUGGAUCCGGUCAUCCUCAGGACCCCCCUAGCUUCCGUGCCCACUCCGGUCAGAUCUCGUUGUCUCCCAUCGCCACCUCUCAUGUACAACGCCGCCACGUGCCGAAUUCCGCGUGCUCCAUCGUUCACCGCCUUCACUUCCCAUAUUAAGGGCCGCCUGACACAUGGAUCCAGCAUGCCCCAUCUCUCCCACCCCAGAUAUCACCCUCAUCGCCACCACCUCCGCUGUGUACCACGGGUGAUGCGGUAGCAGAAGACGGCGCAUCUGUACGGGCGGGAAGUUUGCCGGCACGACACAUACGGUACACUGGUUUAGGUGAUGCUGUUUGCUAGCAUACUCCCUUAUCCAACAACGAGUAGUAGUUUGUUUUGGGACACCAUCUUCUAGUCCAUCAAUGUAGCAGGCUGCUCACUAGUGUCGUGCUUGCUGUUUGGUGCACGCGUCCACGGCUCAGUUGUUACCUUGAUGUAGUUUUUCUCAUAUUCGAGGUGGUGCUUCGUUGUGCAAAGCAAAAUACAUGUUGUAAAAAAUUGUUGGUUCUAUGUCUCUGUUCUACUCGAGCAGCGAUGCAGUUCGAUUAGGUCAUAAGUGUUGAAUAUGUUGUUAUUUAUGUCAAAAUAAUGUGUUUCACUAGCAAUAAUGUGGUUCAGUUGUGAGUGUGUUGUGGUCCAGUUCCGUGUGUGCUCGAUUCACUUACGACAAAAUGUGAAAUGCAAAAAUGUUGAGGAAAUGAAAAAAUGUAAUAUUACUAACACUUAUGCCACGGUUCACUUAAACUUGUGUCGAG
RNAcentral lists this long non-coding RNA (1258 nucleotides) under Hordeum vulgare. Its description in RNAcentral is "long non-coding RNA (HVUL_LNC009913)". The record is from RNAcentral. Lineage: Eukaryota; Viridiplantae; Streptophyta; Magnoliopsida; Poales; Poaceae.